Molecule: long non-coding RNA, 133 nt
Organism: Triticum dicoccoides
Lineage: Eukaryota; Viridiplantae; Streptophyta; Magnoliopsida; Poales; Poaceae
Exons: 3
Source: RefSeq, a predicted model, not a curated record
UUGAAUUUUUUGCCGACGUAAAUUUAAGCUGUGAAGGAACACUACAGGUAGAGAAGAAAGAAAGGAAGAAUGAUGGUUACUUUUCUUUAUAAAAUUUGGUUCAGGAUGCCGUUUUACCUGUUGUAAUACCUUC